Molecule: ribosomal RNA, 328 nt
Filed under: uncultured bacterium
Lineage: Bacteria
Description: bacterial SSU rRNA
Rfam family: Bacterial small subunit ribosomal RNA
Source: RNAcentral
UGCGUAGGCGGGCAGGUAAGUCAGCGGUGAAAUCUUCGGGCUUAACCCGAAAACUGCCAUUGAUACUAUCUGUCUUGAAUAUUGUGGAGGUUAGCGGAAUAUGUCAUGUAGCGGUGAAAUGCUUAGAUAUGACAUAGAACACCUAUUGCGAAGGCAGCUAACUACGCAUAUAUUGACGCUGAGGCACGAAAGCGUGGGGAUCAAACAGGAUUAGAUACCCUGGUAGUCCACGCCCUAAACGAUGGAUACUCGACAUACGCGAUACACUGUGUGUGUCUGAGCGAAAGCAUUAAGUAUCCCACCUGGGAAGUACGACCGCAAGGUUGAA